RNAcentral lists this ribosomal RNA (855 nucleotides) under uncultured fungus. RNAcentral's name for it is "SSU rRNA". It matches the Rfam family "Eukaryotic small subunit ribosomal RNA", at positions 20 to 885 of the family's 1831-position model. The record is from RNAcentral. Lineage: Eukaryota; Fungi.
GUAGUCAUAUGCUUGUCUCAAAGAUUAAGCCAUGCAUGUCUAAGUAUAAGCAACUAUACGGUGAAACUGCGAAUGGCUCAUUAAAUCAGUUAUCGUUUAUUUGAUAGUACCUCACUACAUGGAUAACCGUGGUAAUUCUAGAGCUAAUACAUGCUAAAAACCCCGACUCACGGAGGGGUGUAUUUAUUAGAUAAAAAACCAACGCCCUCCGGGGCUCCUUGGUGAAUCAUAAUAACUUAACGAAUCGCAUGGCCUUGUGCCGGCGAUGGUUCAUUCAAAUUUCUGCCCUAUCAACUUUCGAUGGUAGGAUAGUGGCCUACCAUGGUUUCAACGGGUAACGGGGAAUUAGGGUUCGACUCCGGAGAGGGAGCCUGAGAAACGGCUACCACAUCCAAGGAAGGCAGCAGGCGCGCAAAUUACCCAAUGCCGACACGGCGAGGUAGUGACAAUAAAUACUGAUACAGGGCUCUUUCGGGUCUUGUAAUUGGAAUGAGUACAAUUUAAAUACCUUAACGAGGAACAAUUGGAGGGCAAGUCUGGUGCCAGCAGCCGCGGUAAUUCCAGCUCCAAUAGCGUAUAUUAAAGUUGUUGCAGUUAAAAAGCGCGUAGUUGAACCUUGGGCCUGGCUGGCCGGUCCGCCUCACCGCGUGCACUGGUCCGGCCGGGCCUUUCCUUCUGGGGAGCCACAUGGCCUUCACUGGCCGUGUCGGGGAACCAGGACUUUUACUUUGAAAAAAUUAGAGUGUUCAAAGCAGGCCUUUGCUCGGAUACAUUAGCAUGGAAUAAUAGAAUAGGACGUGCGGUUCUAUUUUGUUGGUUUCUAGGACCGCCGUAAUGAUUAAUAGGGAUAGUCGG